Molecule: long non-coding RNA, 1184 nt
Organism: Oncorhynchus gorbuscha (pink salmon)
Lineage: Eukaryota; Metazoa; Chordata; Actinopteri; Salmoniformes; Salmonidae
Exons: 3
Source: RefSeq, a predicted model, not a curated record
GCGUACGCACGAACGUGUGUUUUAAACACAUACCUGUGCGUGUGUGUCCUCGGCGCAGAUGUGGAUGAGUGUGUGGAGGGCCAGCAGCAACAGCGCUGCCAGCAGACCUGCGUCAACACCUUCGGCUCGUUCCGCUGCUCUUGCCCCUACGGACACACCCUGGCUGGGGACGGAAGGGCCUGUGUGGCUGAGUGUCCCGCAGGGUACAGGAAACAACCCUCAACCCCGAUACCUGGAGGAAACCUGUCCAGAAAGGAGUGUGUAGACAUCAAUGAAUGUGAGGAGCCAGAGGUCAGUGUACCUGGACACCGGUGUCAGUGGAAGUGUGUGAACCUGCCUGGCUCCCACCGCUGUAUCUGUCCCAGAGGCUACAAACUGUCCUCAGACAGACACCACUGCAGAGAUAUCAACGAGUGCAGCCGUAAGAAUGGUGGCUGCUCUCACCUGUGCCUGAACCAUAAAGGAAGUUACCAGUGUUCCUGUCCUGCCUCUCACCGCCUCUCCCCCUACAGUAGGAAGAAGUGUCAGCCAAGGAAAGAACAGCAGAGUAGUGUGUAGCAGAGAUCGUGUGGAGAUCAUUUAAAUAUAAAUGUAAUUUAUUCCAUUGCUUUCUACCAUCCCUCUGUUCGGCUCUUGAACAAUGACUUCUACUAUUGAAUCUACAUUUUGUCAGUCCUUAGAUGUAUUUUUGUCAAAUCAUUACUGAGAACAGUAUAAAAACUAUUAAAAUAUUAUUGUCACAUCCAGAACAUAUCUGUGACAUUGAAUAGAGGCUUGGACUGCAUAUUACAGACAUAUAGCUGAAGAGAAACCAGAAAAACACGUUAUUAGUUUAGGGAUUUAAUUGAUGGCAUUUAAAUAUAUUUCCCUCAAGUGAUUACAUGUUGUUUUACAAGGUAGUGUGAAUGAAUGAGUAAAAACAUAAUGGAAACACGGUGCAGACACUGUGAUAAUAGAUUAGUAGAAUUGAUCCCCUCAAAAUGUCCUCAACUGCAGACUUAUAACAUGGCCAUGCCUAUAGGAAUAUCAAAUAUAAUUUUUUGAUUAAAAGUGACAGUAUUAAUUGUACUUUAGUCUGUUAUAUAAACAGUCAUAGUACUUUGUUAAAAAUACAUUAUUUCUAUGUAUCUACUAUAUUUAUAGUCUCUUUUUAAAUAUAUAAAAUAAAGUUAGACACAAAAACA